GACGAACGCUGGCGGCGUGCUUAACACAUGCAAGUCGAACGGUAAGGCUCCAACUUUCUUGGUUACACGAGUGGCGAACGGGUGAGUAACACGUGGGUAACCUGCCCUUCACUUCGGGAUAUGCCUGCGAAACUGGGUCUAUUAUCGGAUAUGAUCUUUGUGUGCAUAUUGUUCUGGAAAGAUUUUGCGGUGUGAGAUGGGUUCGCGGCCUAUCAGCUUGUUGGUGGGGUAAUGGUCUACCAAGGCGGAGACGGGUAGCCGGCAUGUGAGGGUAGACGGCCACAAUGGGACUGAGACACGGAGCAGACUCGUACGGGAGGCAGAAGUGGGGAGUAUUACAGAAUGGGCGGAAGCGUGAUGCGGCGACGCCGCGUGGGGGAUGACGGCCUUCGGGUUGUAAACUACUUUCACAAUAGACGAAGGGUUUCUGACGGUAGAUGGAGAAGAAGCACCGGCUAACUACGUG
This 466-nucleotide ribosomal RNA is filed under the name uncultured bacterium. Its description in RNAcentral is "partial 16S ribosomal RNA". It matches the Rfam family "Bacterial small subunit ribosomal RNA", at positions 28 to 507 of the family's 1533-position model. The record is from RNAcentral.